RNAcentral lists this long non-coding RNA (444 nucleotides) under Mytilus galloprovincialis (Mediterranean mussel). The record is from RNAcentral. Lineage: Eukaryota; Metazoa; Mollusca; Bivalvia; Mytilida; Mytilidae.
GUGUUUUAUAAUAAUAGGAAAAAGAAUAUAUAGUUUGGGUUUAAAUCUUUAUCCAGUGCAUUGCACCAGAUAAUGACACUCUUAUUUACUGUUUAUUGGUCAUAAAGUACUGAAUGACAUAAUAUAUGUUUUGUUGAAACAGUUAAUACUUAUCGCAGUGAAAAUGGAAAAAAAAUUGAAAAUUGUCAAAUUGCAUCAGUCAUCACCUGCAGGUCUUUCUUUAGGAGUCUUGCCACGAUGUAGCCUUUUUGUGCUGAUGACGCAGAAAGGAAUCACUAAUCAAUCAACAUUUCAGUAGUCAAUUGACAUCUAAAGACUUUUGAAUUCGUCAGAGCAUUUAUUUAUAAAAAAAAAAUUUAAAAAAUAAAAUUUGUCAUUGUUUGUUCAAAUUUUGAUGUUAGGCCAAAUAAAAAUAUAUGUGUGGUUCCAGUAACACGGCCGACC